Molecule: ribosomal RNA, 292 nt
Filed under: Paenibacillus sp. MH13
Lineage: Bacteria; Bacillati; Bacillota; Bacilli; Caryophanales; Paenibacillaceae
Description: partial 16S ribosomal RNA
Rfam family: Bacterial small subunit ribosomal RNA
Source: RNAcentral
UGGCGGCGUGCCUAUACAUGCAAGUCGAGCGGGGUUGUUUUAGAAGCUUGCUUCUAAAACAACCUAGCGGCGGACGGGUGAGUAACACGUAGGCAACCUGCCCAUCAGACUGGGAUAACUACCGGAAACGGUAGCUUAAUACCGGAUACAUCCUUUCCCUGCAUGGGGAGGGGAGGAAAGACGGGAGCAAUCUGUCACUGAUGGAUGGGCCUGCGGCGCAUUAGCUAGUUGGUGGGGUAAUGGCCUACCAAGGCGACGAUGCGUAGCCGACCUGAGAGGGUGAUCGGCCACA